RNAcentral lists this ribosomal RNA (512 nucleotides) under uncultured bacterium. RNAcentral describes it as "partial 16S ribosomal RNA". It matches the Rfam family "Bacterial small subunit ribosomal RNA", at positions 28 to 507 of the family's 1533-position model. The record is from RNAcentral.
GAUGAACGCUGGCGGCGUGCCUAAUACAUGCAAGUCGAACGAAACUUCUUUAUCACCGAUUGCUUGCACUCACCGAUAAAGAGUUGAGUGGCGAACGGGUGAGUAACACGUGGGCAACCUGCCCAAAAGAGGGGGAUAACACUUGGAAACAGGUGCUAAUACCGCAUAACCAUAGUUACCGCAUGGUAACUAUGUAAAAGGUGGCUAUACUACCGCUUUUGGAUGGGCCCGCGGCGCAUUAGCUAGUUGGUAGGGUAAAGGCUUACCAAGGCAAUGAUGCGUAGCCGAAUUGAGAGGUUGAUCGGCCACAUUGGGACUGAGACACGGCCCAAACUCCUACGGGAGGCAGCAGUAGGGAAUCUUCCACAAUGGGCGAAAGCCUGAUGGAGCAACGCCGCGUGGGUGAAGAAGGUCUUCGGAUCGUAAAACCCUGUUGUUAGAGAAGAAAGUGCGUGAGAGUAACUGUUCACGUUUCGACGGUAUCUAACCAGAAAGCCACGGCUAACUACGUG